RNAcentral lists this ribosomal RNA (262 nucleotides) under uncultured bacterium. RNAcentral's name for it is "partial 16S ribosomal RNA". It matches the Rfam family "Bacterial small subunit ribosomal RNA", at positions 335 to 615 of the family's 1533-position model. The record is from RNAcentral.
UACCUACGGGGGGCAGCAGUGGGGAAUAUUGCACAAUGGGGGAAACCCUGAUGCAGCGACGCCGCGUGAGCGAGGAAGUACCUCGGUAUGUAAAGCUCUGUCAGCAGGGAAGAAAAUGACAGUACCUGACCAAGAAGCCCCGGCUAACUACGUGCCAGCAGCCGCGGUAAUACAUAGGGAGCGAGCGUUAUCCGGAUUUAUUGGGUGUAAAGGGUGCGUAGACGGGAAUACAAGUUGGUUGUGAAAGCCCUCGGCUUAACUG